GUGGGGAAUAUUGCACAAUGGGGGGAACCCUGAUGCAGCGACGCCGCGUGAGGGAAGAAGGUUUUCGGAUUGUAAACCUCUGUCCUUGGUGACGAUAAUGACGGUAGCCAAGGAGGAAGCCACGGCUAACUACGUGCCAGCAGCCGCGGUAAUACGUAGGUGGCAAGCGUUGUCCGGAAUUACUGGGUGUAAAGGGAGCGUAGGCGGGAAGACAAGUUGGGAGUGAAAUGUAUGGGCUUAACCCAUAAACUGCUUUCAAAACUGUUUUUCUUGAGUGAAGUAGAGGCAGGCGGAAUUCCUAGUGUAGCGGUGAAAUGCGUAAAUAUUAGGAGGAACACCAGUGGCGAAGGCGGCCUGCUGGGCUUUAACUGACGCUGAGGCUCGAAAGCGUGGGUAGCAAACAGG
Molecule: ribosomal RNA, 405 nt
Filed under: uncultured bacterium
Lineage: Bacteria
Description: bacterial SSU rRNA
Rfam family: Bacterial small subunit ribosomal RNA
Source: RNAcentral